RNAcentral lists this ribosomal RNA (916 nucleotides) under uncultured bacterium. RNAcentral describes it as "bacterial SSU rRNA". It matches the Rfam family "Bacterial small subunit ribosomal RNA", at positions 246 to 1155 of the family's 1533-position model. The record is from RNAcentral.
UUGUUGGUAAGGUAAAAGCUUACCAAGGCUUCGAUCAGUAGCUGGUCUGAGAGGACGACCAGCCACACUGGGACUGAGACACGGCCCAGACUCCUACGGGAGGCAGCAGUGGGGAAUUUUGGACAAUGGGGGCAACCCUGAUCCAGCCAUGCCGCGUGAGUGAAGAAGGCCUUCGGGUUGUAAAGCUCUUUCAGCCGGAACGAAACGGUUACGGAUAACACCCGUGACUACUGACGGUACCGGAAGAAGAAGCACCGGCUAACUACGUGCCAGCAGCCGCGGUAAUACGUAGGGUGCGAGCGUUAAUCGGAAUUACUGGGCGUAAAGCGUGCGCAGGUGGUUUUGUAAGUCAGAUGUGAAAGCCCCGGGCUCAACCUGGGAACUGCGUUUGAAACUACAAGACUAGAGUGUGGCAGAGGGGGGUGGAAUCCCGCGUGUAGCAGUGAAAUGCGUAGAGAUGUGGAGGAACACCGAUGGCGAAGGCAGCCCCCUGGGUCAACACUGACGCUCAGGCACGAAAGCAUGGGGAGCAAACAGGAUUAGAUACCCUGGUAGUCCAUGCCCUAAACGAUGUCAACUAGUUGUCGGGCCUUUACGGGCUUGGUAACGUAGCUAACGCGUGAAGUUGACCGCCUGGGGAGUACGAUCGCAAGAUUAAAACUCAAAUGAAUUGACGGGGACCCGCACAAGCGGUGGAUUAUGUGGAUUAAUUCGAUGCAACGCGAAAAACCUUACCUACCCUUGACAUGUAUCGAAGCCCGCAGAAAAGCGGGGGUGCCCGAAAGGGAACGAUAACACAGGUGCUGCAUGGCUGUCGUCAGCUCGUGUCGUGAGAUGUUGGGUUAAGUCCCGCAACGAGCGCAACCCUUGUCAUUAAUUGCCAUCAUUUAGUUGGGCACUUUAAUGAGACUGCCGG